UGGGGGAUAUUGCACAAUGGGCGAAAGCCUGAUGCAGCGACGCCGCGUGGGGGAUGAAGGCCUUCGGGUUGUAAACUUCUUUUGCUCUGAACAAGGCAUGCCUUUGGGGUGUGUUGAGUGUAGGGGUUGAUUAGCGCCGGCUAACUACGUGCCAGCAGCCGCGGUAAGACGUAGGGCGCGAGCGUUGUCCGGAAUUAUUGGGCGUAAAGGGCUUGUAGGUGGCUGGUUGCGUCUGUCGUGAAAGCUCAUGGCUUAACUGUGGGUUUGCGGUGGGUACGGGCUGGCUUGAGUGCAGUAGGGGAGGCUGGAAUUCCUGGUGUAGCGGUGGAAUGCGCAGAUAUCAGGAGGAAUACCGGUGGCGAAGGCGGGUCUCUGGGCUGUUACUGACGCUGAGGAGCGAAAGCGUGGGGAGCGAACAGG
RNAcentral lists this ribosomal RNA (420 nucleotides) under Fusobacteriota bacterium. Its description in RNAcentral is "Fusobacteria bacterium partial 16S ribosomal RNA". It matches the Rfam family "Bacterial small subunit ribosomal RNA", at positions 355 to 776 of the family's 1533-position model. The record is from RNAcentral. Lineage: Bacteria; Fusobacteriati; Fusobacteriota.